GCCGGCUCUCCAUACCCAUCAGCCAGGAGGCAGAAAGAGCACCAGUGUUCACCUCUGGGUGACCGUACAUAGACUGGCCACAUGAACCUGGUGACCACCACCUCCUGCUCAAUUCUUCUCCUCUGUCUGUAUGAAUACCAAGACACCCUGUGAAGUCUGCCAGGGAGCUUUGUGGCUUUGGAAAGGAGACUCAGGUGGUACACCGUGCUCUCUGCCUUCCUGCUCUGCCCCUCCAGGAUCCCACCAGGCAGUACCUCACAACACCGGCUUCUCCAUCAGCUAUCCAAUGGCACAUGGAUACCAUUCCUGCCUAGAGGGUACACCGUGGGAACUCCCUCAUCCCAUCACCCUUCUGUCAGAUGCUCUGUUCUUUUUCACUGCAUAGUUCCUGCCUCAGGUAUCAGCAGAACCCCAGAAUACUCAGGGUGUUCCUACAGAUCAGUAAGGAAAGCACAGACAACCCAGCAUGGAACUGGGCAAAAGACUAGUGUCCUCAAAGAGAAGUCAUCAAAUUAUCCCGCAAUCACCAGAA
This 532-nucleotide long non-coding RNA is filed under the name Rattus norvegicus (Norway rat). RNAcentral's name for it is "long non-coding RNA NONRATT027059". Lineage: Eukaryota; Metazoa; Chordata; Mammalia; Rodentia; Muridae. The record is from RNAcentral.